UUCAGGCAAAUACUGGCGUGGGAGCCAAGAACGUAACUCUGAAGGGCAUCUGGACUCAUUUUAUUCGUAUUCAUCCCCAAAGCCGUCAUGGGAAAUGGAGGUGCAUGCGCCUUGCUUUGUACGGAUGCCAAACAGGAACAGACGGUCCAACAAUGUACAUUUAUAAUGAUGUGUUAAACGAUGCGCCUAAUGCGGAGACGCCAUUAAAAGAAACUCUCUUCUUAGGUAAGAUUAUCUUCUAUAAAAUAAAUGAGAUACUACGCGCGCUGUCAUUGGUUGAUAGGUGUGUUUAGAUGAGAGUACGUAAACACGGAUGUAACGUUGUAAAUUCGAGCUUUUUUUCAGAAACAUUUUACAAAAGCAAUAGAGCACUAUUUCCGUGUUUACCUAGCCUCAUCUAAAUACCGCAAGGGUUCGGAAAAUUCUCGAAAGUUAUGCAAGCCCUCGACUCCGUCUUGGGUUUACAUAACUGUCUCGAAUUUUCCGAACCCCUUCUUGUUUAGAUUAGGCUGUGUAGACACGGGAAAAAAGUGCUCUAUUGCUUAGAUAACAAUCCCAUCACAUGUUCUUGGAUCUUGUACUUAAAAUGGUAUUGAAAGUGUCAUUAAUGCUGAGAACAAGUUAAAUCUGAGCAGUUAAACUUUCAGCUGAAAAAAUCAACAAGCAACAAUCACCCUCAUCUUCUUGGUUUACACUCACUAGUCACAAAAUCGUUGUUUCAAAUAUCAGUGUUCAAAAGUUGGUGUAAAAUUGAUGGAAAGAUGACGCUGCAUGAGUCGAGGGUCGUGGUAACCUGGAACAUGGUACCUGAACUUCCCUGGAAAACUAAAAUAAGUCCGGUUUUAGGCACAGGUUUCUAGGAACAACGUUUAGAGUUACAACCCCAUCACGCUUUUUUUUUUUUUUUUUUUUUUUUUUUUCUUUUCUUUCUACCAAUUAAGCAGAUAUUAUAGGCACGAUAUUUUUCCCAUCUUGUUUUUUGGUAGCUGCAAGCGAGGUAAACGGAAGUGUCGUGACAGCGUGACAAUUUCAUAAGUUGACAGCUAGGAUCACGAGAUUCGUUAACAUUGCAAUCGGAGAAAUGAGUGAUUGUGAAAUAGGUUUUUAUCGAGAGAACACAGAAAAUAGGACGCGUUGUAACACUGGAAGAGAAUUAACAAGGAUUUGUCGAGUACAAAUGAGUUGUGAGCGUGCGAGUUAAGGUGUGCCCCACAAGUUUGGUACAGAGGAAACUUCUGCUUAAUCUUUAUUUGGUUUGCAAGGAGUUGUGAUUUUUUCAGCCCAGUAAAUUGUAUUGACUUUCACUGGGGCGAGCGAAUAUGGGUUUUAUCCCAAAACUUUUAUAUUGCGCGAAAUAAGCAGUCGUCCAGUCCUUCGAGUUUACGGGGGAACUAUUAAAAAA
This is a long non-coding RNA of Orbicella faveolata, 1402 nucleotides long. The record is from RefSeq and is a predicted model, not a curated record. NCBI's taxonomy places the organism in Eukaryota, Metazoa, Cnidaria, Anthozoa, Scleractinia, Merulinidae.